RNAcentral lists this unclassified non-coding RNA (242 nucleotides) under uncultured fungus. RNAcentral's name for it is "partial contains 5.8S ribosomal RNA, internal transcribed spacer 2, and large subunit ribosomal RNA". The stretch from base 1 to 52 matches the Rfam family "5.8S ribosomal RNA", at positions 103 to 154 of the family's 154-position model. The record is from RNAcentral. Lineage: Eukaryota; Fungi.
AACGCACAUUGCGCCCCUUGGUAUUCCGAGGGGCAUGCCUGUUCGAGCGUCAUUACACCACUCAAGCCUCGCUUGGUAUUGGGCGCCGCGCCUGCCGCGCGCCUCAAUGUAUCCGGCUGAGCUCAUCGUCUCUUAGCGUUGUGACAUUCGUGUUCGCUUCUGGGAUCGAUGGGCUCGCGCCGCAAAACCCUUCUCUUUUAAAGGUUGACCUCGGAUCAGGUAGGGAUACCCGCUGAACUUAA